GACGAACGCUGGCGGCGUGCUUAACACAUGCAAGUCGAACGGAAAGGCCCUGCUUUUGUGGGGUGCUCGAGUGGCGAACGGGUGAGUAACACGUGAGUAACCUGCCCUUGACUUUGGGAUAACUUCAGGAAACUGGGGCUAAUACCGGGUAGGAGCUCCUGCUGCAUGGUGGGGGUUGGAAAGUUUCGGCGGUUGGGGAUGGACUCGCGGCUUAUCAGCUUGUUGGUGGGGUAGUGGCUUACCAAGGCUUUGACGGGUAGCCGGCCUGAGAGGGUGACCGGCCACAUUGGGACUGAGAUACGGCCCAGACUCCUACGGGAGGCAGCAGUGGGGAAUAUUGCACAAUGGGCGGAAGCCUGAUGCAGCAACGCCGCGUGCGGGAUGACGGCCUUCGGGUUGUAAACCGCUUUCGCCGGUGACGAAGCGUGAGUGACGGUAAUGGGUAAAGAAGCACCGGCUAACUACGUG
RNAcentral lists this ribosomal RNA (468 nucleotides) under uncultured bacterium. RNAcentral describes it as "partial 16S ribosomal RNA". It matches the Rfam family "Bacterial small subunit ribosomal RNA", at positions 28 to 507 of the family's 1533-position model. The record is from RNAcentral.